GAUGAACGCUGGCGGCGUGCUUAACACAUGCAAGUCGAACGAAGCACUUUAUUUGAUUUCCUUCGGGACUGAUUAUUUUGUGACUGAGUGGCGGACGGGUGAGUAACGCGUGGGUAACCUGCCUUGUACAGGGGGAUAACAGUUGGAAACGGCUGCUAAUACCGCAUAAGCGCACGGCAUCGCAUGAUGCAGUGUGAAAAACUCCGGUGGUAUAAGAUGGACCCGCGUUGGAUUAGCUAGUUGGUGAGGUAACGGCCCACCAAGGCGACGAUCCAUAGCCGACCUGAGAGGGUGACCGGCCACAGUGGGACUGAGACACGGCCCAAACUCCUACGGGAGGCAGCAGUGGGGAAUAUUGCACAAUGGGCGAAAGACUGAUGCAGCGACGCCGCGUGAGCGAAGAAGUAUUUCGGUAUGUAAAGCUCUAUCAGCAGGGAAGAUAAUGACGGUACCUGACUAAGAAGCACCGGCUAAAUACGUG
RNAcentral lists this ribosomal RNA (481 nucleotides) under uncultured bacterium. Its description in RNAcentral is "partial 16S ribosomal RNA". It matches the Rfam family "Bacterial small subunit ribosomal RNA", at positions 28 to 507 of the family's 1533-position model. The record is from RNAcentral.